This 457-nucleotide ribosomal RNA is filed under the name uncultured bacterium. Its description in RNAcentral is "bacterial SSU rRNA". It matches the Rfam family "Bacterial small subunit ribosomal RNA", at positions 340 to 786 of the family's 1533-position model. The record is from RNAcentral.
UACGGAAGGCAGCAGUGGGGAAUAUUGCACAAUGGGCGAAAGCCUGAUGCAGCUAUGCCGCGUGUAUGAAGAAGGCCUUAGGGUUGUAAAGUACUUUCAUCGGGGAGGAAAAAACAAAACUAAUAAUUUUAUUUCUUGACGUUACCCGAAAAAGAAGCACCGGCUAACUCCGUGCCAGCAGCCGCGGUAAUACGGAGGGUGCUAGCGUUAAUCAGAAUUACUGGGCGUAAAGAGCACGUAGGUGGUUUUUUUAAGUCAGAUGUGAAAUCCCCUGGGCUUAACCUAGGAACUGCAUUUUGAAACUGAAAUACUAGAGUAUCGUAGAGGGAGGUAGAAUUCUAGGUGUAGCGGUGAAAUGCGUAGAUAUCUGGAGGAAUACCUGUGGCGAAAGCGGCCUCCUAAACGAAUACUGACACUGAGGUGCGAAAGCGUGGGGAGCAAACAGGGAUUAGAUACC